This is a non-coding RNA of Paragonimus heterotremus, 71 nucleotides long. Lineage: Eukaryota; Metazoa; Platyhelminthes; Trematoda; Plagiorchiida; Troglotrematidae. The record is from the annotation of a GenBank genome assembly.
GUCAGUGGUGCAGUGGUAAGCACGGUUGUCCCAUGAACAGCAUGACCGUGGUUCUAGUCCCGGCAGUGACG